GGUGGCAAAGCCUGUGGAGUACUCACCUACCUGCUGCAUGAAGGCAGCAUGGAGGGACUGUGGUGGAUUAUCUGCAAAGAUGGCCAAAAUUCUCUCAUCCCUGCAGGCACAUACAAGAUGCCAGAAUCAGUCAAAACUAAGCUCACUGUCCUUGCUAAUAUUCUGCCCCAGAGAAGAACUGAAGCUCAGCUCUUCACCCUACAGAAAGCCUGAAUUUUGUAAAUGUUCUGCUUAGAAUGAGGAAGAAAGAUGAAGAAUGAGGAGGAAGAAGGAAGGAACGAGAGAGAGGUUGUUGCAUGGCAUAAGUAAAGUGACAGUUAUAGGAUACAUGCAACUUUUCAGUGACAAAGAUCUGUGCAGCAUCGACAGUACUGCCUAAUGAGGUUUCACCAUAAUGAAGUAUCACAACCAGUUUACAGACCAGAAAACUGAGACACAGGAAGGGGUGGUGACUUGAGCAAGGUGCAUCAGCUGGAAAUUGAAGUAUACAGAAUGCUUAUUUGGUCUACUCAGUAUCAUCCUAAAUGUAUGUACCAAUGCUUAGGAGUUUGCAGUUCACCCGCAAACCUCAGCGAUCCAAGCUCCCCUGGAUGACCAUCACUCACCAAGAAAAGAGCAAUAACAGGACCUGUUUUGCUAAUCCAGGACUGUUCUCCAGCACUAACUCUAAAUAAUCCCUUCUGCUAGAGUCCACUUUCUGGAACCUGUUGCCUCCGUUUUCAACGUUUCCCAAACUUGGUCCGUUGUGUGAGCUGGCUGAUAAAAGUUCCAGGGAGAAGACAUCUUACUCUUAUUGGAUCAUGCACAGUGCCUGAAGCAUUCUGUUGCAUGUAGAAGUCAGUAAAUUGCAGAUGUAAGAUUCAAAACCAGACUU
Molecule: long non-coding RNA, 874 nt
Filed under: Homo sapiens (human)
Lineage: Eukaryota; Metazoa; Chordata; Mammalia; Primates; Hominidae
Description: long intergenic non-protein coding RNA 3156
Source: RNAcentral